UCCCUGAAUGUUUUGCUGUGCUGGGA
This 26-nucleotide non-coding RNA is filed under the name Homo sapiens (human). Lineage: Eukaryota; Metazoa; Chordata; Mammalia; Primates; Hominidae. The record is from RNAcentral.